Molecule: long non-coding RNA, 1857 nt
Organism: Dromaius novaehollandiae (emu)
Lineage: Eukaryota; Metazoa; Chordata; Aves; Casuariiformes; Dromaiidae
Exons: 6
Source: RefSeq, a predicted model, not a curated record
UAUGAUCCUUCUCAUCAAAAUGUAUGUAGAUUGUCUUCCUGUGUUAGGCUAAACCUUACACCUACUGAUGCCUGCUUAACUGUUCUCAUUUAGUAUUUUUAAUUACUUUUAGGUAAGUUGGUGAUAAGGGAGGAAACCUCACAAUUAUUGAUUGAAAAAGGCCAAUUGCUUUCGCUUGCAUGUAACUAAAAAAAUGUUUUUAUUUAACGUUGUAACCCUUUCAAAUAUGUGGAUUAGCCAAAGUAACAUAAGGUGACUGUUAUCAUAUCUUAAAUUUAGCAGUAUAUUUUGGAGAAAUUGUUGGCUGCUUGUAUGUUUUUAUUAAAAAAAAGAAGAGGGAGGGUUAUCAGAGCAGAAAAAAUAAGCAAUGUGUUAAGGAUUUGGCAGGUAUCCUGGACUGGUAGGGAGUAUGGAAAAGAAUUAAAAGGAGUAAAAGGUUCUAGGAAGGAGCUGAAUGAUUUCUUUGUGUUACUCUUCACCACAGAAGAUGUUGUUUCUAUUCUUAUCAGGUAAUGUUGAUGGGGCGUUUUCUGGUUAUCAGAUGAGAGAAUGAGGUAUCAGAAGAUCAAGUGCUAGAAUAAAGUGAUGAAGACCCCUAAGCUUAAAUCAUGAGGGCUAGAUGAGAUUCAUUCUUUCAGUGGUUCUAGAGAAUGAAGUGGCUGAUCUGCUAGCAAGAAUGUGCCUCGUUAAGAUGAGAUACUAUGUCAGAAGACUGGAAGCCAGCAUGUGUUGCAUACACCAUACUUUUAAACUGCGCACAAGGAGCAGUCCUGGAAUUUGCAGACUCGCAAUCCAUAUGUUAAUGCCAAGUUAAUUCCUCAAGUCUGUUUACUGAGCAGCUCCAUAAGUAGAUAUAUCUACACAAAGAAGGAUGCAGCACAAGGAGAAGAAGGAGGAGAAGUAAUGGCAAUACAUUCAUUCUGCCAUUUGGAGGAGCCUGUGCCACAGAAUAAUGAUCUGAAGAAGGCUAACUUAUUUGCAAAGAAGAGUCUUCAUUUGGAAAGCAGUACUGAUGCAGCAAAGAGGUGCUUUGUCAAGUUCAGAUCUUUGACACUCAGUGGGAUGAGCAUCUCGGAACAGACUGAUACUGGGGACUCCCAAGCUACAGUUCAGAAACCAUUUUGAUAGAUGGGGGUUGUUUGUCUGAAAAGUAUUCUGCGGAUUGAGUAUGAAACAAGAAGAGUACUAAUGAGAGAGAAUGGAUAUGGCAUCUUCACAAAGAGUGGCACUCUGGCCCUAAUCCUGUCACUGGAUUGUUCAAAUGGACCUUUAUAUUCCUGGGGCUUGACUGAGUUAAUGAGACUUUGAAAGACUGGAAGUUUCUACUCUGAAGAUCUGACUGUAGACCUGAACCUCAAUUUUUAUUUUACUCCCAUUUCUAUUUGCUUCUAAUUCAUGAAAAUCUCCCUAUAAAAUGGUAUUGUCUCCGAGUCUUUUUCCCAUGUACUUUAGUAUCAUUCGUAUACUGUGUACUCUGGAUAUUGUCAGUCAUGGUUGAAAUACCUUUGUUGUCUCACCUGCCAAAAACUCUUGAUUGCUGUUAUUAUUGUGUUAUGUUUUUACAUUUAAUGACUUCCUACCUAAAAAGGAGAUAAUCAUCUGCGUUUUCCGUAGCUGUAGUAUGAAACCUUCUCUUAACUCAGAUUUUGAAGUCAGAGUAACUACUGGAACUCUAUUCAGGUCAUUUUUAAAGAUGUUGGUCGAUUUUUUUAAUUAUUACUGUUUGGAUACAAUGUGUAUUUAUUUUAUUUUGCAGUGUGCUAUUUUCUUAGCAGCUUAUUAUUACUAAAAGCUUUCAGGUGAUGGUACGCUGUGAUGUAGGCCAAUAAAAUAAGUACAAAAAGACAUUAACUUUUA